GACGAACGCUGGCGGCGUGCUUAACACAUGCAAGUCGAACGGUGAAGCGCCUUCCUUUUUGGUGGGUGUGGAUGAGUGGCGAACGGGUGAGUAACACGUGAGUAACCUGCCCCCUUCUUCUGGAUAACCGCAUGAAAGUGUGGCUAAUACGGGAUAUUCUGGGUCUGUCGCAUGAUGGGUCUGGGAAAGAUAUUGUUUCGGUGGGGGAUGGGCUCGCGGCCUAUCAGCUUGUUGGUGGGGUGAUGGCCUACCAAGGCGGUGACGGGUAGCCGGCCUGGGAGGGUGGCCGGUCACACUGGGACUGAGCCACGGCCCAGACUCCUACGGGAGGCAGCAGUGGGGAAUAUUGCACAAUGGGCGCAAGCCUGAUGCAGCGACGCCGCGUGAGGGAUGGAGGCCUUCGGGUUGUGAACCUCUUUCGCCAGUGAAGCAGGCCUGCCUCGUUUGUGGGUGGGUUGACGGUAGCUGGAUAAGAAGCGCCGGCUAACUACGUG
RNAcentral lists this ribosomal RNA (494 nucleotides) under uncultured bacterium. RNAcentral describes it as "partial 16S ribosomal RNA". It matches the Rfam family "Bacterial small subunit ribosomal RNA", at positions 28 to 507 of the family's 1533-position model. The record is from RNAcentral.